Molecule: unclassified non-coding RNA, 162 nt
Filed under: uncultured Leptosphaerulina
Lineage: Eukaryota; Fungi; Ascomycota; Dothideomycetes; Pleosporales; Pleosporaceae
Description: sequence contains ITS1
Source: RNAcentral
GGGAGGUAUGCGGGGUCUUCGAGCCCCCCAUUUACGCACGCACGACUGCCAUCCUUACUUUACGAGCACCUUCUGUUCUCCCUCGGCGGGGCAACCUGCCGUUGGAACCGAAUAAACUCUUUUUGCAUCUAGCAUUACCUGUUCCGAAACAAACAAUUGAGG